AUUUUGAAAACUGAACGUUUUAGGGGGGUCAAAGGAGUUGACUUUUUAUACAUUGGGAAAUUGGGAAAACUUUCUUCAUGAAAGUUGUAGAGCGCGUCGAUACGAGUUCGUGGACAUAUGGAACGUAAUAUUCGGAGUUCGUAUGAAUAAGUUACGAAUAUUUGAAAAUUGGGAUUUUCUAUAAAUAUGAAAAAAAAAUCCGAAUAUUGCAAAUGAGGACAGAAUUUCUGGAACUCCAGAAAUUUCUCCCCAUUUCUCUCCCGAGCCCAGCCGCGACCCCCUCCCUUCGUCACCUUCGUUCUUCCUCAUCCGGCCACCGAUUGAUGUGAAACAAAGUGGGUUUUUCUGGUCUCGACCCCCUUUACGAGUUUGUAGAAGAAAUCGAAGUGAAAUACGAGCUGUAUGAGGCUCUACAAGGUCGAGAAGAGAGCCUCGUCGGAGACGAAAUCGCUCUUCCCCACUUUUUCUGGGCUCUACUUUGUCUGGCCAUAUCUUCCUCUACAGGCCUCCGAUCGACCUGAUUCCAAAAGCAAUUUUUCUCACCGUGAAGUUUUCUACAACUUUCCAGAAGACAUCGACUUGAGAUAACCAUCGUGGUGGCCGCUAGAAGACCGAGAAGCCGCACAGCCGAGCUGGAAAUCUUCUUCCUUCGCCACCUUGGUUCUCCCAGCUCCGGCCACUAUAGCUCGAGUUCUUUGAGGGCUUUUCUAGCCCAGAGGAAGUAGAAGCUAUCCCCAAGAAGGCUUGCAGCGAUUUGAUCCGGGGUGAUCGAAUUUUGAAGAUUGGGAAACUAGGGUUCUUCGGGUUUCAAAACUUGCGAGGUGAUUGACGGUCUCCCUUGGGUGAACGAUUUCGGUGUGUAUUGUGUUGAAUUGAAGACGCAGCGGGAAUAUCGAGCGGGUAAUCCUACAGGUCAGGCGAAUCGGGAAGGUGAUCGAGCUGCUUAGAGAAAUUGCAUUGGGUAAAUCUGGAUUUAUAUUGUGAGGUUUAUUAUGCUCUUUUGAGUAUUGUAAAUUAAGUUGUGAGAGUGUGAUGUAAUAAGUAAAUUGAAGAUUGGUUUUUGUAAUAUUGAGAGGUGUGAAGUGUGGUUGUUUGUGAGAAAAAAAUUCAGGACGUUAUUUGUAUUGAUGUUAAUCAUGUUUCGGAUUUGAAUUGAUUAUUCAAAAUUUGGGGCGUGACAACUAUCCUCCAACCUUGUUUCGCUAGCAUACCUAGGUUGAACCAAUGCAAAUUUUUGAAUCCCAUUCCACCUUCAUUCUUGGGUACACACAGUCUAUCCCAAGAUCUCCAGUGAAUCUUCUGUUUUUCUUCGGAGUCACCCCACCAGAAUCCUGCACAUAGCUGCUGAAGAUCUUCACAUAAACCAAUAGGUAACUUAUAGCAGUUCAUC
This is a long non-coding RNA of Rosa rugosa (rugosa rose), 1390 nucleotides long. RefSeq lists it as uncharacterized. NCBI's taxonomy places the organism in Eukaryota, Viridiplantae, Streptophyta, Magnoliopsida, Rosales, Rosaceae. The record is from RefSeq and is a predicted model, not a curated record. The transcript is spliced from 3 exons.